Molecule: unclassified non-coding RNA, 252 nt
Filed under: Hevea brasiliensis (rubber tree)
Lineage: Eukaryota; Viridiplantae; Streptophyta; Magnoliopsida; Malpighiales; Euphorbiaceae
Source: RNAcentral
GGUUCAAAACCAGAAACACACAGAACUCCCAACACCAAUAUUAUCAAACUCUUCACUAACAAUCCAAAACCUUCCAUCAUCAUUCAAAUCCCAAAAGAACACAAAAUUAGACCUUAAAGGCUAAAACCAGCAGUUCUUGAAAAUGAACAAUAACUAUUUCAUCACCACAGAAGCACAAUAUAUGAAAUACCCAUCAAAAGAAACAUCAGCAGAAGGGUAAAGAUGUCACCUUUUUCAUUCAAAGGAGCUCCA